RNAcentral lists this ribosomal RNA (276 nucleotides) under uncultured bacterium. Its description in RNAcentral is "partial 16S ribosomal RNA". It matches the Rfam family "Bacterial small subunit ribosomal RNA", at positions 1225 to 1500 of the family's 1533-position model. The record is from RNAcentral.
CUACAANGGCCGUUAACAGAGGGAAGCAAGCCCGCGAGGGGGAGCAAAACCCUAAAAACGGUCUCAGUUCAGAUUGUAGGCUGCAACUCGCCUAUAUGAAGUUGGAAUCGCUAGUAAUCGCGAAUCAGAAUGUCGCGGUGAAUACGUUCCCGGGUCUUGUACACACCGCCCGUCACACCAUGGGAGUCAGUAACGCCCGAAGCCGGUGACCUAACCGAAAGGGAGGAGCCGUCGAAGGUGGGACCGAUAACUGGGGUGAAGUCGUAACAAGGUAGC